Glycine soja is the source of this 819-nucleotide long non-coding RNA. RefSeq lists it as uncharacterized. Lineage: Eukaryota; Viridiplantae; Streptophyta; Magnoliopsida; Fabales; Fabaceae. The transcript is spliced from 2 exons. The record is from RefSeq and is a predicted model, not a curated record.
ACUCUUUCCAUGUGUCUCAAUUAUUAACUACCUGAGUAUUUAUUAUGAGAUUUUUCUUUUUGAAAAAAACAUAAUUUGAACAAAAUCUAUAAAUAUUGGGCCACCACCAAGGCAAGUUCAUAAAAUGUAUUGGGCCACGGGCGGAUUUGAUACAACAAAUGUUUGGGUUUUGAAUCAUAUACUUCCUAAUGUGUACCAUGCACCUCCCCUUUCUUUUAUGAAAAGUAAAAAAUAUUGUUAAUGAGAUAGCAUCUCCCUUUCCCCAAUUCUAACACCUCCUUCAAAAAACCCAGAACCCUAACACCCUAGUGACGAGGCACCUCCCUUCCCGUGAUGAUGAUACCUCCUUCUUGCAAUGACAUAUGGUUCACCGCAACAAUUCCUCCUUCUUCGACACCACCUCUUUCCCCUUGUACCUUCCUCACAACAUCGUGGCUCUUUGUUUGCCCUCUUUCCUUUGUGCUUCGCUAUUGAUGAGAUCAACACAACAAAGAUAUUGGAAUCUCCAUCAUGGGUUGAUCAUUGAUAAAGCUUGAAGAAGUAUUGAUCUGCAUAUCAAAGGUGUAUUCAAUCCAACUUUUUAUUUCUUUCUAGUUUUUUUUAAAUCUUGGUUAGGGUUACCAAAGGAUUUUGAGUUGAUAGGGUUUCAACUCUUGAUUUUUCUCUUAUAGGGUUCAAGGGAAAAGUAGAUUUAGGAAAUUACAUGUAUAUAGUGGUUGUACUUGGUUCUCUAAUAAUGGAAUGUUCUAAGGGAUUGUAGAACAAUUGGAUGUAGGUCUUCUUGAGGAUUGAAUUAGUAUAAAUUCUUGUAUUUGAUUC